RNAcentral lists this ribosomal RNA (492 nucleotides) under uncultured bacterium. Its description in RNAcentral is "partial 16S ribosomal RNA". It matches the Rfam family "Bacterial small subunit ribosomal RNA", at positions 29 to 507 of the family's 1533-position model. The record is from RNAcentral.
AGUGAACGCUGGCGGUAGGCCUAACACAUGCAAGUCGAACGGCAGCACAGUAAGAGCUUGCUCUUACGGGUGGCGAGUGGCGGACGGGUGAGGAAUACAUCGGACUCUACUUUUUCGUGGGGGAUCACGUAGGGAAACUUACGCUAAUACCGCAUACGACCUACGGGUGAAAGCAGGGGAUCUUCGGACCUUGCGCGAUUGAAUGAGCCGAUGUCGGAUUAGCUAGUUGGCGGGGUAAAGGCCCACCAAGGCGACGAUCCGUAGCUGGUCUGAGAGGAUGAUAAGCCACACUGGAACUGAGACACGGUCCAGACGACUACGGGAGGCAGCAGUGGGGAAUAUUGGACAAUGGGCGCAAGCCUGAUCCAGCCAUACCGCGUGGGUGAAGAAGGCCUUCGGGUUGUAAAGCCCUUUUGUUGGGAAAGAAAAGCAGCAGGUUAAUACCCCGCUGUUCUGACGGUACCCAAAGAAGAAGCACCGGCUAACUUCGUG